Molecule: long non-coding RNA, 531 nt
Organism: Suricata suricatta (meerkat)
Lineage: Eukaryota; Metazoa; Chordata; Mammalia; Carnivora; Herpestidae
Exons: 2
Source: RefSeq, a predicted model, not a curated record
UCUAAAUAGAUGCACCAGGCGAAGCACUACUCAUGUGCAAUCACAGUUAACAAAUCUCCAUGACAUCCUGGUGUCGCCUGGGGAGCACAAGACUCUGCUUUAGGUGCCUCAGUUCAAAUCCUGUUACCAGCUUUAUGACCUAUGUUAGCCCUUUAAAGAUUCCGAGCCUUAAUUUUACUCAAUUGUAUACUUUAAACUCCAGUUUUUGUCAACUUUAUGCUUAUAAUUAUUUUAAAAAGCUAGUAAGAUAAUAUGCAUGGAAACUCUGUUGCACAGUAGGUGUUCAAAGCAUUAGAGGAAUGUGUGCUUGGAAAUCAUUUUCAGAGUAUUUUUAAUUUCUGAAGCAUUGGUGCAGAUUUGUGACUCCAUCGGUACAGUGGACACAAGUGAACACAACUUGGAAUUCUUGAAAACUGAAAUCAUCCUUUAUCUCAACGACAGGAGAAGCAAUUUUCACUUGUUUGCGACACAGCUCGACUGGAAUUAUACUUCAAAAUACAAUAAACUUCUCCUGAGAAGACUGACAUGAAA